RNAcentral lists this ribosomal RNA (393 nucleotides) under uncultured bacterium. Its description in RNAcentral is "partial 16S ribosomal RNA". It matches the Rfam family "Bacterial small subunit ribosomal RNA", at positions 338 to 728 of the family's 1533-position model. The record is from RNAcentral.
CCUACGGGAGGCAGCAGUGAGGAAUAUUGGUCAAUGGACGCAAGUCUGAACCAGCCAUGCCGCGUGCAGGAAGACGGCUCUAUGAGUUGUAAACUGCUUUUGUACGAGGGUAAACGCAGAUACGCGUAUCUGUCUGAAAGUAUCGUACGAAUAAGGAUCGGCUAACUCCGUGCCAGCAGCCGCGGUAAUACGGAGGAUUCAAGCGUUAUCCGGAUUUAUUGGGUUUAAAGGGUGCGUAGGCGGUCGGAUAAGUUAGGUGUGAAAUCCCGAGGCUCAACUUCGGAAUUGCCUCUGAUACUGUUCGGCUAGAGAGUAGUUGCGGUAGGCGGAAUGUGUGGUGUAGCGGUGAAAGGCUUAGAGAUCAGACAGAACGCCGAGUGCGAAGGCAGCUUA